UACAGAGGUCUCAACCGUUGUUCGGAUUCAUUGGGCGUAAAGGGUGCGUAGGCGGUCGCGCAAGUCGGAUGUGAAAUCUCAGGGCUCAACCCUGAAACUGCAUUCGAUACUGCGUGGCUAGAGUGCUGGAGAGGAGACUGGAAUUUACGGUGUAGCGGUGAAAUGCGCAGAUAUCGGGAAGAACACCUAUGGCGAAGGCAGCUCUCUGGGACGGUACUGACGCUGAGACGCGAAAGCGUGGGGAGCGAACAGG
This 253-nucleotide ribosomal RNA is filed under the name uncultured bacterium. RNAcentral's name for it is "partial 16S ribosomal RNA". It matches the Rfam family "Bacterial small subunit ribosomal RNA", at positions 524 to 776 of the family's 1533-position model. The record is from RNAcentral.